UUUCUUUUCUUUCUGAUCUUUUA
This 23-nucleotide small nuclear RNA is filed under the name Arabidopsis thaliana (thale cress). RNAcentral's name for it is "snRNA_15728". The record is from RNAcentral. Lineage: Eukaryota; Viridiplantae; Streptophyta; Magnoliopsida; Brassicales; Brassicaceae.